ACUUCUUAGAGGGACAAGCGGCGCUUAGCCGCACGAAAUUGAGCAAUAACAGGUCUGUGAUGCCCUUAGAUGUCCAGGGCUGCACGCGCGCUACACUGAAGGAAUCAGUGUGCAUGAUAACCUUAUCCGAAAGGAUUGGGUAACCCGAUCAAACUCCUUCGUGAUUGGGAUAGGGAAUUGCAAUUAUUUCCCUUGAACGAGGAAUUCCCAGUAAGUAUGAGUCAUAAGCUCAUGCUGAUUACGUCCCUGCCCUUUGUACUGAGCG
This 265-nucleotide ribosomal RNA is filed under the name Choanolaimus sp. ELE007. RNAcentral's name for it is "partial small subunit ribosomal RNA". It matches the Rfam family "Eukaryotic small subunit ribosomal RNA", at positions 1406 to 1665 of the family's 1831-position model. Lineage: Eukaryota; Metazoa; Nematoda; Chromadorea; Chromadorida; Choanolaimidae. The record is from RNAcentral.